RNAcentral lists this ribosomal RNA (397 nucleotides) under uncultured bacterium. RNAcentral's name for it is "bacterial SSU rRNA". It matches the Rfam family "Bacterial small subunit ribosomal RNA", at positions 32 to 421 of the family's 1533-position model. The record is from RNAcentral.
AAUCAACGCUGGCGGCGUGCCUCAGACAUGCAAGUCGAACGAUUAAACUUUCCUUCGGGAAAGAUAUAAAGUGGCGCACGGGUGAGUAACACGUAAGUAAUCUACCUUCGGAUGGGGAAUAACAGUCGGAAACGACUGCUAAUACCGCAUAAUGCAGCGGCACCUAAUGGUGACAGUUGUUAAAGUAUUUAUACGUCUGGAGAGGAGCUUGCGGCAGAUUAGCUAGUUGGUAAGGAAUGGCUUACCAAGGCUACGAUCUGUAGCCGACCUGAGAGGGUGGUCGGUCACACUGACACUGAAUAACGGGUCAGACUCCUACGGGAGGCAGCAGUCGGGAAUUUUGGCAAUGGGCGAAAGCCUGACCCAGCAACGCCGCGUGAAGGAUGAAGUCUUUCGG